UACGUAGGGUGCAAGCGUUGUCCGGAAUUAUUGGGCGUAAAGAGCUCGUAGGCGGUUUGUCGCAUCUGCUGUGAAAACUGGAGGCUCAACCUCCAGCCUGCAGUGGGUACGGGCAGACUAGAGUGCGGUAGGGGAGAUUGGAAUUCCUGGUGUAGCGGUGGAAUGCGCAGAUAUCAGGAGGAACACCAAUGGCGAAGGCAGAUCUCUGGGCCGUAACUGACGCUGAGGAGCGAAAGCAUGGGGAGCGAACAGG
This 253-nucleotide ribosomal RNA is filed under the name uncultured bacterium. RNAcentral's name for it is "partial 16S ribosomal RNA". It matches the Rfam family "Bacterial small subunit ribosomal RNA", at positions 524 to 776 of the family's 1533-position model. The record is from RNAcentral.